Populus trichocarpa (black cottonwood) is the source of this 926-nucleotide long non-coding RNA. RefSeq lists it as uncharacterized. The transcript is spliced from 5 exons. The record is from RefSeq and is a predicted model, not a curated record. NCBI's taxonomy places the organism in Eukaryota, Viridiplantae, Streptophyta, Magnoliopsida, Malpighiales, Salicaceae.
UAAUACCCCCCCCCGUUUCUAAAUAGAGAAAACAAAACCAACAGUUGAAAAUUAAUUCUCUUCAUCGAUUUGAUUUUCCUUUUGUCCCAAACUUUUCAUCUUCUUCUCAUUCGUUUUCAACAUCGUUAAUUUUUUUUCCUUCAUCUUCUUCUCCUUCAUCUUAACAGUUUCAAUCUUUCUCUGUAAACCAGCAAAAACACAGACCCAUGGCAACAUCGCACCAGACCCAUCAUUAUCACCCUUUCUCUUUGUAAACGGGUUGGGUUUUGCACUCUCUUCUUCAAUAAAUCAGGUGUUGUUCUGUCGUAUAGAUUCAUCUCGCUCAUCUAUAACUCAAGAACACAGAGGGUCUUAUAUUCACGAGAACCAUUUGGGUUAUGUUUUCAUAUUGCUCCAUGGAUCACAUGUCGGCCAAGGUUUUACAUGGUAUGAACUUGUGUAUCACUUCAAGUAAAAAUUAACUUCUUCAAUCAGGUGUUAGCUCUGCAGUUUUUUUGUGUAAUUUAUUUUUCAUGCCUUGAGAGAUCCUUUCCCACCUAAUCGCCAUGGAAAAAUCACUCACAUCCGCAAAGGGAGGAGAUUUGUGAAGCCAUCAAAUUUUACGAAGGAGAUGGAUGCUGAUAGGUGGGCGCUGAGUAUGAGCUGACGCUAUAACUGGUCCAGUUUUGUUAGAUUUGGUGGCUGGUUCAGCUAUCCACUUUAUGCAGUUCUGGAGAAAUUUUCUGUGUGUUUUUGUCAUCUGCUUUUUUUUAAUAUAGUUUUUUCCAGCUGCAGAAUUUGAUUAUUGUGGAGAUGUAAGGGAUGGUUAUUUUCACAUAUGUGGAGAUUAUACUGUGCAACUGCUCUUAUAGAAUCCAAGCCAGUCCUCUGCUCCUUCUUCAUCUUUUAUUCCUUUUAUCUGUUUUUUUUUUUAAUGAGGAUGUGCA